Molecule: small RNA, 172 nt
Filed under: Chrysemys picta bellii (western painted turtle)
Lineage: Eukaryota; Metazoa; Chordata; Testudines; Emydidae
Description: TUC338 (ENSCPBG00000021875.1)
Source: RNAcentral
UCAACUUUUUUGGAAACUGAAGUCCCUUGUGUAUCUACAGAACAAGUAUAACACAGAAAGUAGUUCAGGCUUCCUCUGCUGCUACCUCAAUAUGUCUCAUUCUUGGUUUGGAGGGCUACCUCUAGUGGAGAGACUGGGUUGAGUCUCUGUGCCUGUUCAGUUAAUGACUUUC